UGACGGUACCCUUUCGAAUAAGAGGUUGCUAACUCUGUGCCAGCAGCAGCGGUAAUACAGAGACCUCGAGCGUUAUCCGGAUUUACUGGGCGUAAAGCGUCUGUAGGGGGUUUGUUAAGUUCCAAGUAAAAUCUUAAGGCUCAACUUUAAGUUCGCUUGGAAAACUAAUAAACUGGAGUCCAGCAGAGGUGCAUGGAACUUGCGGUGUAGGAGUGAAAUCCGUUGAUAUCGCAAGGAACACCAAAGGCGAAGGCAUUGCACUGGGCUGGUACUGACCCUGAGAGACGAAAGCGUGGGGAGCAAAACGGAUUAGAUACCCGUGUAGUCCACGCCGUAAACGAUGGAUACUAGAUGUUCGGGGAUUCGACCCCCUGGGUGUCACAGCUAACGCGUUAAGUAUCCCGCCUGGGAAGUACGGCCGCAAGGCUAAAACUCAAAGGAAUAGACGGGGAUCCGCACAAGCGGUGGAGCGUCUGGUUUAAUUUGAUAGUAAGCAAUGGACCUCACCAAGGUUUGACAUCCUAUGACAACCCUGGAAACAGGGCUUCCUUCGGGCAUAGUGACAGGUGCUGCAUGGUCGUCGUCAGUUCGUGCCGUGAGGUGUUCCGUUAAGUCGGGAAACGAACGAAACCCUCGUCGCAUGUUACAAAUUUCAUGCGAGACUGCCCGGGUCAACCGGGAGGAAGGCGGGGAUGACGUCAGAUCAGCGUGGCCCUUAUACCUUGGGCUACACAGGCGCUACAAUGGCCGGUAUAAAGGGUUGCAAAACCGCGAGGUGAAGCUAAUCCCAUAAAGCCGGUCCAAGUUCGGAUUGGAGGCUGCAACUCGCCUCCAUGAAGUUGGAAUCGCUAGUAAUCGUGGAUCAGCCACACCACGGUGAAUACGUUCCCGGAUCUUGUACUCACCGCCCGUCACACCAAGAGAGUUGGUAGCUCCUGAAGCGUCGCAUUAG
This 952-nucleotide ribosomal RNA is filed under the name uncultured organism. Its description in RNAcentral is "bacterial SSU rRNA". It matches the Rfam family "Bacterial small subunit ribosomal RNA", at positions 470 to 1438 of the family's 1533-position model. The record is from RNAcentral.